AGAGUUUGAUCCUGGCUCAGGACGAACGCUGGCGGCGUGCUUAACACAUGCAAGUCGAACGAGAUCCACGGUGUAGCAAUACACCUGAAGAUCUAGUGGCGAACGGGUGCGUAACACGUGAGGAACUUGUCCCGGUCUCUGGGAUAACAGUUGGAAACGACUGCUAAUACCGGAUGACGUCGGAGCAUCGCAUGGUGCGCUGACGAAAGGGUUACUGGAUCGGGAGAGCCUCGCGGCCUAUCAGCUUGUUGGUGGGGUAACGGCCCACCAAGGCAUCGACGGGUAGCUGGUCUGAGAGGAUGAUCAGCCACACUGGGACUGAGACACGGCCCAGACUCCUACGGGAGGCAGCAGUGGGGAAUCUUGCGCAAUGGGCGAAAGCCUGACGCAGCAACGCCGCGUGCGGGAUGAAGGCUCUCGGGUUGUAAACCGCUUUCAGCAGGAACGAAAAUGACGGUACUGCAGUAGAA
RNAcentral lists this ribosomal RNA (470 nucleotides) under uncultured Acidimicrobiales bacterium. RNAcentral's name for it is "bacterial SSU rRNA". It matches the Rfam family "Bacterial small subunit ribosomal RNA", at positions 8 to 489 of the family's 1533-position model. The record is from RNAcentral. Lineage: Bacteria; Bacillati; Actinomycetota; Acidimicrobiia; Acidimicrobiales.